This 465-nucleotide ribosomal RNA is filed under the name uncultured Klebsiella sp. Its description in RNAcentral is "bacterial SSU rRNA". It matches the Rfam family "Bacterial small subunit ribosomal RNA", at positions 338 to 795 of the family's 1533-position model. Lineage: Bacteria; Pseudomonadati; Pseudomonadota; Gammaproteobacteria; Enterobacterales; Enterobacteriaceae. The record is from RNAcentral.
CCUACGGGAGGCUGCAGUGGGGAAUAUUGCGCAAUGGGCGCAAGCCUGAUGCAGCCAUGCCGCGUGUGUGAAGAAGGCCUUCGGGUUGUAAAGCACUUUCAGCGGGGAGGAAGGCGUUAAGGUUAAUAACCUUGGCGAUUGACGUUACCCGCAGAAGAAGCACCGGCUAACUCCGUGCCAGCAGCCGCGGUAAUACGGAGGGUGCAAGCGUUAAUCGGAAUUACUGGGCGUAAAGCGCACGCAGGCGGUCUGUCAAGUCGGAUGUGAAAUCCCCGGGCUCAACCUGGGAACUGCAUUCGAAACUGGCAGGCUAGAGUCUUGUAGAGGGGGGUAGAAUUCCAGGUGUAGCGGUGAAAUGCGUAGAGAUCUGGAGGAAUACCGGUGGCGAAGGCGGCCCCCUGGACAAAGACUGACGCUCAGGUGCGAAAGCGUGGGGAGCAAACAGGAUUAGAUACCCCAGUAGUC